RNAcentral lists this antisense RNA (75 nucleotides) under Streptomyces sp. yr375. RNAcentral describes it as "ASpks TB sRNA". It matches the Rfam family "ASpks TB sRNA". The record is from Rfam by way of RNAcentral. Lineage: Bacteria; Bacillati; Actinomycetota; Actinomycetes; Kitasatosporales; Streptomycetaceae.
CUUGACCGAGCCCAGCCACAGGGGCCGGUCGGCGGGGCGGCCCUGACCGUAGGUCGCGAUCAGCGCCUGGGCCUC